RNAcentral lists this ribosomal RNA (760 nucleotides) under uncultured bacterium. RNAcentral describes it as "bacterial SSU rRNA". It matches the Rfam family "Bacterial small subunit ribosomal RNA", at positions 8 to 796 of the family's 1533-position model. The record is from RNAcentral.
AGAGUUUGAUCAUGGCUCAGAACGAACGCUGGCGGCAUGCCUAACACAUGCAAGUCGGACGCUUUUGGGGCUUCGGCCUCAAGGGAGUGGCGGACGGGUGAGUAGCGCGUGGGAACCUGCCUUGGAGUGGGGGAUAACCGAGGGAAACUUCGGCUAAUACCGCAUGCGCCCCGGCGCGAGCCGGGGGAAAGAUUGAUCGCUCCAAGAGGGGCCCGCGUCGGAUUAGGUAGUUGGUGGGGUAACGGCCUACCAAGCCGGUGAUCCGUAGCUGGUCUGAGAGGAUGAUCAGCCACACUGGGACUGAGACACGGCCCAGACUCCUACGGGAGGCAGCAGUGGGGAAUAUUGGACAAUGGGCGCAAGCCUGAUCCAGCAAUGCCGCGUGAGUGAUGAAGGCCUUAGGGUUGUAAAGCUCUUUCGGCGGGGACGAUGAUGACGGUACCCGCAGAAGAAGCCCCGGCUAACUUCGUGCCAGCAGCCGCGGUAAUACGAAGGGGGCGAGCGUUGUUCGGAUUUACUGGGCGUAAAGGGCGCGUAGGCGGCGGACCUUGUCGAGUGUGAAAGCCCCGGGCUCAACCUGGGAGGUGCGCUCGAAACGGGUUUGCUGGAGUUCGGGAGAGGAGCGUGGAAUUCCCAGUGUAGAGGUGAAAUUCGUAGAUAUUGGGAAGAACACCGGUGGCGAAGGCGGCGCUCUGGACCGAGACUGACGCUGAGGCGCGAAAGCGUGGGGAGCAAACAGGAUUAGAUACCCUAGUAGUCC